AUAGAAUUACAUGCGACGAUUGAUCACGUGGCACUCGAACCGAAGAAUUAAGAAACCAGUAACUUUUCACAUCAAGUAAAAUCAACUGAAGCCAUCGAUUCAAGUCUCGUUCCUUCAUCUUGCCUUCGAAACGAUCUAAAUUGAUCUCUCGUACAUUUUAUCAAAAUCGUGACCCACGAUUUUGAGAGAAACCGGAGACAGGUUCGAUUUUUCGCGAAUCGUGUCAAAAAUCGCACAUUUAAAUUUCGAUUAUACACGUUUCCAGAUCUUGUUAGCUUAUUCCACGGGACUGGCAAAGUUAUUUAAAUUAAAGAUCUUGUAGGUCAAAGAGGAGACAAUUAUUAACCCAAACUCAACAAAACUCGACAACUCAACAAAACUCGAUGAGAUCUGGCUCGAAACGAGGUUAUAAUCCACGAAUCGUCGUGAGUCGCGAUUUCGUAAUUCUUGCGUAUUAUCGAUUUCAUUCGAAACCAUAUUCGAGACGAUUCGCAUCCUUCUCAUCAGAGAAAUCGAUUUGAAUCGAUUGUCGAAAUCUGACAUUUUAAUCGAAACAGGAGCGAAGACUCGUCGGGACGUGUUUAUCAGCUGACUGCAGCUUGCACUUUGCUCCGUUUUUUAUCGUAUGAUCUAAUCAUUUUCUGCGACUCACCGUGAAGUGAAACGUGUCUCUCACAUUCAAGUUGAGGAUAGACAGCGAAAAUUGAUGAGAAAAAAUGUCGCUUUCCAAGCCGACCGAUAUCAUGUACAAUCUCAUGGGCGCGUACCUACAGCGGCUGUAUACCAGUCCCUUAAGAACUAAAGCUGUAACGAGUUGCAUUAUUGCUGCCCUUGGAAAUGUAGCAUCUCAGAAACUGUCCGGUGCCAAGCAGCUUAACGAAGACAGUGUCCUGGCCUAUGCUCUAUUUGGCUUGUUGUUUGGAGGGCCGGUACCCCAUUACUUUUACACAUACGUGCGAUUGUUCGUGAAGCACCCUUUGAGGAUACUUCUGAUAGAGAGACUCAUUUAUACACCGUGUUUUCAGGCACUCGCGCUCUACUUCCUUGCUAUCUUUGAGGGCAAGUCCCAUCCAGUGGCAUGCGCUCACUUGCAAAGAUUAUAUUUUCCGACACUGAUAGCUAAUCUGAAAUAUCUGACACUGUUCCACUUCAUCAAUAUAAAAUAUGUUCCACCAAUGUUGAGGGUCUUAAUGGCGAAUCUCAUCGGUUUCGUAUGGAUUAUCUAUAUUGCCAAUAAGAGAGCGAAAACUUCGAAAAAGAAGUAGAAGAACACGAAAACGUAUUGUAAUCAUUUGUUAUAUAUAUAUUUUUUUUGUUACCUAUACCAAAGUUUUAUAAUCAUAUUCGAUGAUUUUACGAUCUAAUAUUUAUAUCGAGAUAUGGAAGAUAUAAAACAAAACAUAGCGUGUUUAAGAUUUUCGAUUUAAUCACACAACAACAAUACAGAGUAUAUUACAGAUAUAAUAUCCGAAUUUUCUUUCACUUUAACGAGACAGUAACAUUCGAUGGCUGUAAAUCAUAAUUGUUGGUACAGACGUUAAGUUCAAAAAUUGCGACGAGUUCUACUUAAUGAUGAACUGACGCAGAGAUCAGGGCAUUUUGCUUUUUGAAAGUGAUUUCCUCGCAUGUCGUUUCUGACAUAAAAUUGAUAGUUUCGAAGACAUUUUCAGUAAUCAAGAUAACAACGGCAUGCGAAAGGUAUUAUUUCCGAGUUUACCCUUUUAGCAUUUCCAUAACUUCGCUGUAUAUUCGAAUAUAUGUAUUAUUUUAUUAUAUACGCGAAAACGAAUCUCAGGAAGGGAGCAAUCACAUCAUUGCACUGGAAAAAUUGUAAAAUGUAUCCGAACUACAUUAAUAUAGAGCUCAGUAAUGUUGAUCGAGCGGUCAUUGCGUAUAAAAUAUAAUUUUCAUAUAAUGUUAAUAAAAGUGUUUAAGAUUGUGUCAGAUUUUUUAGAAUAAAAAACUAUUCUUAAACUCA
Molecule: RNA transcript, 1978 nt
Organism: Solenopsis invicta (red fire ant)
Lineage: Eukaryota; Metazoa; Arthropoda; Insecta; Hymenoptera; Formicidae
Gene name: peroxisomal membrane protein 2
Exons: 7
Source: RefSeq, a predicted model, not a curated record